Molecule: long non-coding RNA, 407 nt
Filed under: Daucus carota (carrot)
Lineage: Eukaryota; Viridiplantae; Streptophyta; Magnoliopsida; Apiales; Apiaceae
Description: long non-coding RNA (DCAR_LNC007507)
Source: RNAcentral
AAGAAUAGAACAAUACACCUCAAAUGAUACAUACGAGCACACAGUCUUUGUAAAUAUGAGCAAAAUUUAAAAUUUGAUGAAGAAAUGAAGAGUGAUACUAGAUUUGUUGGUGAAGGUGAGUGCCGAGUAGAUAAUGACCGGAGAAAUAACGAUAGCGCAUUUUGAACACAAAUGCUUGAACUAAAGGAAAUUUAAUUAAACAUGUGUUUGGAAAUUUGACGUGCAUCAUUGUCACCAAAUGAUUCUUAUAUGUGCAUAUACAAUCUACUAUAUAAUACAAUUCAUGCAUAUUAAUAUGGCAACUAUUACCGAUCAUAAAAAAGCGACCACUUUUGACAAUUGUGUGAUAGUGAUUUUUGGUAUUUCUUAAUUUACCUCGCUUAAGCAAAAAAUAAAUGUAAAAAUNN